AUUGAACGCUGGCGGCAUGCCUAACACAUGCAAGUCGAACGGCAGCAUGUACUGUACUUGUACAGUAUGAUGGCGAGUGGCGAACGGGUGAGUAAUGCGCAGGAAUAUGCCUUAAAGAGGGGGAUAACUUGGGGAAACUCAAGCUAAUACCGCAUACACUCUGAGGAGUAAAGCUGGGGACCAUUUGGCCUGGCGCUUUAAGAAUAGCCUGCGUCCGAUUAGCUAGUUGGUGGGGUAAAGGCCUACCAAGGCGACGAUCGGUAGCUGGUCUGAGAGGAUGAACAGCCAAACUGGGACUGAGACACGGCCCAGGAUCCUACGGGAGGCAGCAGUGGGGGAUAUUGGACAAUGGGGGGAACCCUGAUCCAGCAAUGCCGCGUGUGUGAAGAAGGCCUGAGGGUUGUAAAGCACUUUUAGUGUGGAGGAGGGUGUGUAGGUUAAGAGCUAGCACACUGGACGUUACACACAGAAAAAGCACCGGCUAACUCCGUGCCAGCCGCCGCGGUAA
RNAcentral lists this ribosomal RNA (508 nucleotides) under uncultured bacterium. Its description in RNAcentral is "partial 16S ribosomal RNA". It matches the Rfam family "Bacterial small subunit ribosomal RNA", at positions 30 to 523 of the family's 1533-position model. The record is from RNAcentral.